GUGCUCGCUUCUGCAGCGCAUCCACUCAAAUUGGAACGACACGGAUCAGCGUGGCCCUGCGCAAGGACGACGCCCAAAUCCAUGAAGCGUUCCACAAAAAA
RNAcentral lists this small nuclear RNA (101 nucleotides) under Dasypus novemcinctus (nine-banded armadillo). Lineage: Eukaryota; Metazoa; Chordata; Mammalia; Cingulata; Dasypodidae. The record is from RNAcentral.